This 310-nucleotide long non-coding RNA is filed under the name Homo sapiens (human). RNAcentral's name for it is "HSALNT0097517". Lineage: Eukaryota; Metazoa; Chordata; Mammalia; Primates; Hominidae. The record is from RNAcentral.
UUAGGUGGUCUGCUGCAGAGAACUAGAGGUUCAACUCCUGAUCCAUGGAGACUCACCAGUGCUAAGGGACUUCUGUUCAAUUGGAUCAAACUUGGCUGUAUUGUGGUGCUGAAGAUGCAAGGGAGGAAAGAGGCUGUUUGGGCAGAAAAUGAUGAUCCUUAGCUGCUAACUCUGUCAGCACAAAGAGAGUGGGACUGCAGAUGACCUCCAACACUGAAUAAACCAAAAAGGAUUCAUUUAACGUUUGAGAACAAAUUCUCAGGCAUGGGGAAAGAAGCCCCAGUGUGACUGCAAAGAGUGCUGCAAAAGA